Molecule: ribosomal RNA, 402 nt
Filed under: uncultured bacterium
Lineage: Bacteria
Description: bacterial SSU rRNA
Rfam family: Bacterial small subunit ribosomal RNA
Source: RNAcentral
UAGGGAAUCUUAGACAAUGGACGAAAGUCUGAUCUAGCCAUGCCGCGUGUGUGACGAAGGCCUUAGGGUCGUAAAGCACUUUCGCCAGGGAUGAUAAUGACAGUACCUGGUAAAGAAACCCCGGCUAACUCCGUGCCAGCAGCCGCGGUAAUACGGAGGGGGUUAGCGUUGUUCGGAAUUACUGGGCGUAAAGCGCGCGUAGGCGGACUGGAAAGUUGGGGGUGAAAUCCCGGGGCUCAACCCCGGAACUGCCUCCAAAACUAUCAGUCUAGAGUUCGAGAGAGGUGAGUGGAAUUCCGAGUGUAGAGGUGAAAUUCGUAGAUAUUCGGAGGAACACCAGUGGCGAAGGCGGCUCACUGGCUCGAUACUGACGCUGAGGUGCGAAAGUGUGGGGAGCAAACA